CCCACCUUCACAAAAACUCGAGCUGGAGGAAAGGAGGGAGGGGGAGACGGAGAGAAAAAAAGCUCUUCUAGAGAGGGAUGCGCGCUCGCGCCUCUGUGGGCUUUUCUGAGUGGACUGACUCGCAGGAGCUUGUAGUUUUUUGGGGGGGUUUGCGAAAGGGGGCUUUGUAGUUUGAAACAUGAAGGACCGCACACAAGAGCUGAGGCAUGGUAAGGACACCGAGGAAGAGGAGGAGGUGGCAGUGGGCAUGGAGAAAGGCUUCAUGGACGAGUUCUUCGAGCAAGUGGAGGAGAUCCGUGGCUUUAUCGACUCACUGGCUGAGAAGGUAGAGGAGGUAAAGAGGAAACACAGCGCCAUCCUCGCCGCCCCAAACCCAGAUGAAAAAACAAAAGCGGAACUGGAAGAGCUGAUGACGGACAUCAAGAAGCUGGCCAACAAAGUGCGCUCCAAAUUAAAGAGUAUCCAGCAGACCAUUGAGCAGGAAGAGGGUCAGAACAGGUCUUCGGCUGACCUGAGGAUACGGAAGACACAGCAUUCCACUCUGUCCCGUAAGUUUGUGGAGGUAAUGUCGGAGUACAAUGCCACGCAGUCAAGCUACAGGGAGCGCUGCAAGGGCCGAAUCCAGAGACAACUGGAGAUCACUGGCAGGAAGACCACAAACGAGGAGCUGGAAAGCAUGCUGGAAAGUGACAACCCAGCUAUCUUCACUUCGGGGAUCAUCAUGGACUCCAACAUCACCCAGCAGGCCAUGAACGAGAUAGAGACCCGGCACAAUGAGAUCAUUAAGCUGGAGAACAGCAUUCGUGAACUGCACGACAUGUUCAUGGACAUGGCCAUGCUGGUGGAGAGCCAGGGGGAGCUUAUUGACAACAUAGAAUCCAGUGUGCGCAACGCACAGGAGUAUGUGGAGAAGGCCAAAGAAGACACCAAAACAGCCAUUAAAGUCCAAAAAACAAGCAAGGUGGUGAGUAACAGCUUGACCAGUCCAUGGCUGCUCUCUAAAGUCUCUCUCUCUCUCUUUUCCUCUUUCCUCUCCAUGUCUCCCCGUUCCCCCUUUCUCCUCUCCUCUUUUUCUUUCCCAUCCCUCCUUCUUGCUUUCCACCCUCCCUUCUUGCUCGCUGUCUCACCCAUGCACCGGUCAGGGAGAGAUGAUCGACCGUAUAGAGUAUAACGUGGAGCACGCGGUGGAUUACGUGGAGAGGGCCGUGUCAGACACCAAGAAGGCAGUAAAGUACCAGAGCAAAGCACGGCGGAAGUUGAUUGCGUUAGGUGUCUGUGUGGCAAUCUGUCUGCUCAUCCUCAUCAUCUCACUGGCCGUCGGGCUCAGCUAGCCAGGGGAGCAGUUCACUUAGAGAAGCCCCCAACCCUGGACGGGACCUUACAAAGCAGUCAAGCUCGAGUUCCUCAAGCUCAUGCUAGACGAAGCAUGGAUGGAUUAUUUGAGUUUUUUGCUGAAGUAAAGUUAAUAAUAUGGCAAAACAGCAAUUUAAUUAUUUAUCAGACUUGUUUAAUUAAUUUUGAAGAGUUAAUCAAACUUAAUAAGACAGAAUUAAUAAUGUAGAAUAAUAUUGUCUCAGUAAUCUUGCUGGUGUACUGUUAGAGACUGUAGCUCAUCUGUUGAUGCACCGUUUGUGUUUGUCAUCCACUAGUCUUUCAUCAAUUGUCAGUUUCUGACCACAGAGCUGCUCUUGGCCUCCAGUAAAUCCCCAGCUACACCAUUGUGUCAUUCAUACAGCACCACACACUACCAUGUCAGUGUAACUGCUGUGCUGAGAAUGCACCACCACACAAAUGCCUGGACCUACAGUGGUCCUGUAGUCAGAAGCUGACCAAUGAUGAGUGAAGUAGAGAGGGGCUGACAGAUGGGCUACAGUCUGUAAUUAUACACCAAUAUAGUGGACGUACAAGGCACAGUAUUGUGCAAAAGUCAGGGACCACCCUUCAUGUAUUUAAUUUCAAGUGAAAAAAAACAAGUUAUUCAUUAUUCAGGAAAUAUUUCUGAGGAGAUCAGAUGUAAGAUAGUCCACGUGCAUAAAGAAGGAAGAAGUCAAAGGAACAAAAAAUGAAAAAGGUUUCCGAAACUUCAAAAAAGAUUAAAAGCUACAGAGAGACUGGGACUCCUAACAACCACCUGGAAGACCUGGUAGACACCAAAACUGCCCCCAUCUGAUAAACAGCACUUAAAGCUUUCAUCUUUGAGAGAGAGGAGAAAAUCAAGCUGCUUCAGAUCUGAAAACAUCCACAGGUGUUUCUGUCCAUCCUUCCACUGUGAGAAGACGAUUCAGCGCUAUGGGUCUGAAAGGAUGUGGAGCUGUCAAGAAGAACCUCACUGAGAAAUGGAAAAAAGAAAACUUGUAAUAGCACACUAAAUGUAGACAUCUGAAUAAUUAUUAUAUGGGCCGAUGAGUCUAAAUUUGCAGUUGGGAUCACUUGGUUUGUUAGAAGCAGAAAAUGCAACCAACUUCUAAGACUGAACUUUGGAGGUGUGUCUGCAGAUUCUUUGAGAAACUGAAAGUGAGUCUCCUGAAAAGAAUGGAAGCCCUAAUAAAGGUGAAGAGCAGGGGUGUGAUAAAAUAUCGAUACAGCGAUAAAAUGUAUCACUUUUUUUGCGAUGUUAUCGAUACACUGGCGCCAAAAAUCGAUUUAUUUAUUGAAACAUGCAUGUAUUGUAAACGCUCUAAACGGACUCCUCCUCCAAUUUGAUUUACCAAAUUUACUUCUUCAUGCCUCCACAUGGUGGCGUUAAGGCGCUUUUCAAAUGAAUAGGCUAAAUUUUUUUGUACAAAUGUAUAUUUGUUUUUUUUUUCUGUGUCACAGAAUCGCAGUAUCAAGAUAGCCUCUUUAUCGUACGCAGUGUAUCAUGAUAAUAUUGUAUUGUGAGAUGCCCUGUGAUUCCCACCCCUAGUAAAGAGUGGACGCAGUAAAUACUGAAAAAAAUGUUUAGUUGUUGACUCUUCUGUGUAAUUUUCUGAUAUAUCGCUGUUGUCAGAAGAAAACCUCGCAUCUCCAAAAUAAUAACUUUACAGGAAAAGGAAAAACAUAUUUUACUUUUAAUGUAAGUCAGUGGAACCAGACAUUUUUCCAAGUCAUUUUGGGCUGUUUCUUUUGGUCCAAUCAUCAUGAAAUUUACACGCAACGUGAAAGACAACAGGUGUAACGGUGGAUGGCUCACCAGACUGAGGAUGUAAACCCAGGCUGUCUGAGUUUUAUUCCAGGGCCUAUAAGGUGAGCGACCACAGGUGUUAGGAACACAGGACCCAAGUGCCAAGCUUAGGUACAGCAGAUGGAUGAGCUGAACUAAAGAACUUAAGCACCUGAUGAGUCCGGGGAUCGAACUCAUCACCGCUACACCACUGCAGCCGUGGUGAAGACAACUAAAAGGAGCGCUCUUAUAUGGGAUUGCCCGAAAAUGAUACAUAAAAAGCUGUCUGAAUUUGUAAACCCACCUGUUUUUGUCAGGCGGGAAAAAGAACAAAGGAUGCCAGGGGAAAACUGGCUUCCUCAGAAGUCGAGAGAAAAUGAAGUAACUGACAAAAGACAAAUGACUUUCCCAACAGAAACAGAACAGAAAGAAGUUUUUUUCCCAGACAGCAGAGAAGGAACUCUCGAGAGGAGGCUGGAGGAACUCAAAAAGUGAGGGGGGAGUGCAAAACUCCCAGCCCUCUUAACAAAAUUACCGGCCGUUUCUGUUGGCUCACAAUGAGACAAAGACACAGCAAUGUGGAUCUUCUUCUCUGCGCUUAUAAAGCCCUCUGCCCAGGUGUAGGACGCUGGGCUUGUUCAGACGUAGGAGAUGUGCGUCGUCUCCCUUUGGUGGCCGGGAGCGUCUCAGCCCUGGAGCCAGCCCUUACAAAUUAUGUUAAUAACAGAACAAUGUCAAAAAUAGAGGUACAAGGUUUUCUUCUGACAACAGUGACAUAUAUGUUAGCUUUUUUUACUGAUGCUGGAAAAUGAAUAACUUGUAUGUAUAAAAACUUGUAUAAAAAAUGCAGGGUGGUCUCUGAUUUUUGCACAGUAAUGUGGGUGAUUCUAAUAAAGAAAGACAAAUGUUUCUAAG
RNA transcript from Colossoma macropomum (tambaqui), 4057 nucleotides. It is a transcript of the gene named syntaxin 1A (brain), with no coding region annotated. NCBI's taxonomy places the organism in Eukaryota, Metazoa, Chordata, Actinopteri, Characiformes, Serrasalmidae. The record is from RefSeq and is a predicted model, not a curated record. The transcript has 10 exons.